GAAAUGCGAUAAGUAAUGUGAAUUGCAGAAUUCAGUGAAUCAUCGAAUCUUUGAACGCACAUUGCGCCACCUGGUAUUCCGGGGGGCAUGCCUGUUCGAGCGUCAUUUCACCACUCAAGCCUCGCUUGGUAUUGGGCAACGCGGUCCGCCGCGUGCCUCAAAUCGACCGGCUGGGUCUUCUGUCCCCUAAGCGUUGUGGAAACUAUUCGCUAAAGGGUGUUCGGGAGGCUACGCCGUAAAACAACCCCAUUUCUAAGGUUGACCUCGGAUCAGGUAGGGAUACCCGCUGAACUUAAGC
RNAcentral lists this unclassified non-coding RNA (298 nucleotides) under plant metagenome. Its description in RNAcentral is "partial contains 5.8S ribosomal RNA, internal transcribed spacer 2, and large subunit ribosomal RNA". The stretch from base 1 to 105 matches the Rfam family "5.8S ribosomal RNA", at positions 50 to 154 of the family's 154-position model. The record is from RNAcentral.